AGAGUUUGAUCCUGGCUCAGGAUGAACGCUGGCGGCGUGCCUAACACAUGCAAGUCGAACGGAGUGUUGAGAGCUUGCUUUUAACACUUAGUGGCGGACGGGUGAGUAAUGUAUGAGCAACCUGCCUUUCAGAGGGGGACAACAGUUGGAAACGACUGCUAAUACCGCAUAAAGUAUUUAGGAGGCAUCUCCUGAAUACCAAAGGAGCAAUCCGCUGAAAGAUGGGCUCAUAUCUGAUUAGCUAGUUGGUGAGGUAACGGCUCACCAAGGCUGCGAUCAGUAGCCGGACUGAGAGGUUGAACGGCCACAUUGGGACUGAGAUACGGCCCAGACUCCUACGGGAGGCAGCAGUGGGGAAUAUUGGGCAAUGGGCGAAAGCCUGACCCAGCAACGCCGCGUGAAGGAAGAAGGUCUUCGGAUUGUAAACUUCUUUUAUGAGGGACGAAGGACGUGACGGUACCUCAUGAAUAAGCCACGGCUAACUACGUGCCAGCAGCCGCGGUAAUACGUAGGUGGCAAGCGUUAUCCGGAUUUACUGGGUGUAAAGGGCGCGUAGGCGGGGAUGCAAGUCAGAUGUGAAAUCUAUGGGCUUAACCCAUAAACUGCAUUUGAAACUGUAUCUCUUGAGUGCUGGAGAGGUAGAUGGAAUUCCUUGUGUAGCGGUGAAAUGCGUAGAUAUAAGGAAGAACACCAGUGGCGAAGGCGAUCUACUGGACAGUAACUGACGCUGAGGCGCGAAAGCGUGGAGAGCAAACAGGAUUAGAUACCCUGGUAGUCCACGCUGUAAACGAUGAAUACUAGGUGUGGGGGGACUGACCCCCUCCGUGCCGCAGUUAACACAAUAAGUAUUCCACCUGGGGAGUACGGCCGCAAGGUUGAAACUCAGAGGAAUUGACGGGGGCCCGCACAAGCAGUGGAUUAUGUGGUUUAAUUCGAAGCAACGCGAAGAACCUUACCAGGGCUUGACAUCCAACUAACGAAGCAGAGAUGCAUUAGGUGCCCUUCGGGGAAAGUUGAGACAGGUGGUGCAUGGUUGUCGUCAGCUCGUGUCGUGAGAUGUUGGGUUAAGUCCCGCAACGAGCGCAACCCCUAUUGUUAGUUGCUACGCAAGAGCACUCUAGCGAGACUGCCGUUGACAAAACGGAGGAAGGUGGGGACGACGUCAAAUCAUCAUGCCCCUUAUGUCCUGGGCUACACACGUAAUACGAUGGCGUCCAACAAAGGGAAGCAAAACCGCGAGGUAGAGCAAAUCCCCAAAAGACGUCUCAGUUCGGAUUGCAGGCUGCAACUCGCCUGUAUGAAGUCGGAAUUGCUAGUAAUCGUGGAUCAGCAUGCCACGGUGAAUACGUUCCCGGGCCUUGCACACACCGCCCGUCA
RNAcentral lists this ribosomal RNA (1377 nucleotides) under uncultured bacterium. RNAcentral describes it as "bacterial SSU rRNA". It matches the Rfam family "Bacterial small subunit ribosomal RNA". The record is from RNAcentral.